RNAcentral lists this long non-coding RNA (465 nucleotides) under Vigna radiata. RNAcentral describes it as "long non-coding RNA (VRAD_LNC015489)". Lineage: Eukaryota; Viridiplantae; Streptophyta; Magnoliopsida; Fabales; Fabaceae. The record is from RNAcentral.
CCUUGAAUAGAAAGAAAUUUAGAAAAAUAAAUUGAGAAACAAUUGUAUAGUCACAUCAAGAUAGACUAGAAGUCAAUGUAAUCUCAUUACAAAAGUAGUUACAAAGAAAGAAAUGUUACUCAAUUCAUAAUAAACUAAGUAUAGUUUUAUCCUAAAACAAUAUCAUAAACUUCCUAAAUGUUACUUCCAUUAGAUGAUUGUCUUGUACCCAAGGAGACUCUGGCUCAUUUGCAUCACGAGCUUGCUGAAAUAAUAUAAAAAAAAUUAAUAAAAUAAAUUCAAUUACAUGUACUCACAUUUUGUAAAUAAUAUAUAAAAAAAUAAUCAAAUAGAAUUCAGUUUUAAAAGUCAUUAUUCAAAUUUUCCUUGGCUACUGCAGUUACUACUUUACACCAUAUAUAAAAUGCAAUGGACCAAUACUUCUCACACUAUGCAUAUAAAUCUUACUGCAACAAUCAAUAAAGC